Molecule: ribosomal RNA, 444 nt
Filed under: uncultured archaeon
Lineage: Archaea
Description: bacterial SSU rRNA
Rfam family: Archaeal small subunit ribosomal RNA
Source: RNAcentral
CCGGCAGCACGAGUGAUGACCGCUAUUAUUGGGCCUAAAGCGUCCGUAGCUGGCCGCGCAAGUCUAUCGGGAAAUCUGCGUGCUUAACGCGCAGGCGUCCGGUGGAAACUGUGUGGCUUGGGACCGGAAGAUCCAGAGGGUACGUCUGGGGUAGGAGUGAAAUCCCGUAAUCCUGGACGGACCGCCGGUGGCGAAAGCGCUCUGGAAGGACGGAUCCGACGGUGAGGGACGAAAGCUCGGGUCACGAACCGGAUUAGAUACCCGGGUAGUCCGAGCUGUAAACGAUGUCUGCUAGGUGUGACACUGGCUACGAGCCAGUGUUGUGCCGUAGGGAAGCCGUGAAGCAGACCGCCUGGGAAGUACGUCCGCAAGGAUGAAACUUAAAGGAAUUGGCGGGGGAGCACGGGGCGGGGGCGGCGGGCCGGGCGCGGGGCGCGGCGGGCG